RNAcentral lists this microRNA (22 nucleotides) under Glycine max (soybean). Its description in RNAcentral is "gma-miR4358". The record is from miRBase by way of RNAcentral. Lineage: Eukaryota; Viridiplantae; Streptophyta; Magnoliopsida; Fabales; Fabaceae.
CAGUGCAUGACUAUAUCGCCAG